UCAUUCACAGUUGUAACUGCUUUCACUCUCUGCAAGGCUCCUCCUCGAAUAGGCAGCUUUUUAAGAGCAAUGUCUGUGUCAGCCAGAGGUCCUCCCAGCAAUCUGACAGGAGUGCUUUCCACUGUUACUACUCGACCAGAGGGAAUCUAAAAAAGCAAAAGAGUUUAUGAAAUCUUCAUCUCAACCUCACAAGAGCCCUGUGAGCAAGGCAGAUGUGUCCUGAUCUUUCUCCUACAGAGGAGAAUUGAACCUCAGGAAGUGAAGUUGGAAUUUUCUGAGGAUAAACCACUAUGGAGCUGAUGUAUUUAUCCACUUGAAUUGCUUCAUUAAUAUAAUUUCAAACUUCAGUUAUAUUAUUCAGAUGUAAAAUCUUUCCAAAUGUCUUCCCAUUAUAUAUUGUAUAUAAUCAAGUCAGGCUUAGCUAUAAGUUUGUAGUAAUUACUGUAGAAUUAUACUCUAGAA
Molecule: non-coding RNA, 462 nt
Organism: Heterocephalus glaber (naked mole-rat)
Lineage: Eukaryota; Metazoa; Chordata; Mammalia; Rodentia; Bathyergidae
Source: RefSeq, a predicted model, not a curated record